RNAcentral lists this ribosomal RNA (253 nucleotides) under uncultured bacterium. RNAcentral describes it as "partial 16S ribosomal RNA". It matches the Rfam family "Bacterial small subunit ribosomal RNA", at positions 524 to 776 of the family's 1533-position model. The record is from RNAcentral.
UACGUAGGGGGCAAGCGUUGUCCGGAUUUAUUGGGCGUAAAGAGCGGGUAGGCGGCUAUACAGGUCCGUUGUGAAAACUCGAGGCUCAACCUCGAGACGCCGAUGGAAACCGUAUGGCUAGAGUCCGGAAGAGGAGAGCGGAAUUCCUGGUGUAGCGGUGAAAUGCGCAGAUAUCAGGAAGAACACCAAUGGCGAAGGCAGCUCGCUGGGACGGUACUGACGCUGAGACGCGAAAGCGUGGGGAGCAAACAGG